ACCACGGAAAAAUAAACAGAUGUUAAGAAAACUGUUUGAUCCUGCACAGUGCGUUCUAUCGGCCUACCUACUUUAUUCACCGAAAAGUCCACACAAGACGAAAUCUCUUUGCAAAAAAAAAAAA
Molecule: long non-coding RNA, 124 nt
Organism: Sipha flava (yellow sugarcane aphid)
Lineage: Eukaryota; Metazoa; Arthropoda; Insecta; Hemiptera; Aphididae
Exons: 2
Source: RefSeq, a predicted model, not a curated record